CAAGGCGUAGCUAUAAACCAAAGCACUCAGCUUACACCUGAAAGAUGCCUUCAAAGAUAAGGUCGCCUUGA
RNAcentral lists this transfer RNA (71 nucleotides) under Alectoris chukar (chukar partridge). Its description in RNAcentral is "tRNA-Val". Lineage: Eukaryota; Metazoa; Chordata; Aves; Galliformes; Phasianidae. RNAcentral also lists the same sequence under 1 other name. The record is from RNAcentral.